ACGGAAGGCAGCAGUGGGGAAUAUUGGGCAAUGGGCGAAAGCCUGACCCAGCGACGCCGCGUGAAGGAAGAAGGCCUUCGGGUUGUAAACUUCAGUCAACAGGGAAGAAACAAAUGACGGUACCUGUGGAGGAGGCCACGGCUAACUACGUGCCAGCAGCCGCGGUAAUACGUAGGUGGCGAGCGUUAUCCGGAUUUACUGGGUGUAAAGGGUGUGUAGGCGGGACUGCAAGUCAGAUGUGAAAAUUAUGGGCUCAACCCAUAACCUGCAUUUGAGACUGUGGUUCUUGAGUGUCGGAGAGGUAAAUGGAAUUCCCAGUGUAGCGGUGAAAUGCGUAGAUAUUGGGAGGAACACCAGUGGCGAAGGCGGUUUACUGGACGACAACUGACGCUGAGACACGAAAGCGUGGGGAGCAAACAGGAUUAGAUACCCUGGUA
This 437-nucleotide ribosomal RNA is filed under the name uncultured Oscillospiraceae bacterium. Its description in RNAcentral is "bacterial SSU rRNA". It matches the Rfam family "Bacterial small subunit ribosomal RNA", at positions 341 to 792 of the family's 1533-position model. The record is from RNAcentral. Lineage: Bacteria; Bacillati; Bacillota; Clostridia; Eubacteriales; Oscillospiraceae.